UUUCAGAAGGAGUCUUGCUUUUGUUGCCCAGGCUGGAGGCAUGAAGUUUGGAGGUACUUAUAUACAGCCUUUCACAGAAUGUCAAAGAAGUGUCAUAAGUAUUCUGAAGCUCUUCAUAUGCCGUGCCGCUAUCAAUAUGGCUCAUAUCUACUUUUAUAACUCUGCCAAACACAUUGAAAGGCAAUUUAACUUCCAAGUUUAAGUGUUCUAGGACAACUCCAACAUCUCUUCAGAGUUGACAGUAAGCUUGGCUAAUGUUAGAAACAAAAGUCCCCAGUAAGUCAGCCAUAUCUGCAUGGACAAAGCAGUCCUGAGUGCUGCUAAAUUAGCUAAGAAAACUUUUCAACACUCAUGUCUUACUAAGUCUGUUUCAUUCAGAACAUUCUAUACACGUCUUUAGC
RNAcentral lists this non-coding RNA (401 nucleotides) under Pongo abelii (Sumatran orangutan). The record is from RNAcentral. Lineage: Eukaryota; Metazoa; Chordata; Mammalia; Primates; Hominidae.